GAUGAACGCUGGCGGCGUGCCUAAUACAUGCAAGUCGAGCGAACAGACGAGGAGCUUGCUCCUUUGACGUUAGCGGCGGACGGGUGAGUAACACGUGGGUAACCUACCUAUAAGACUGGGAUAACUUCGGGAAACCGGAGCUAAUACCGGAUAAUAUUUCGAACCGCAUGGUUCGAUAGUGAAAGAUGGCUUUGCUAUCACUUAUAGAUGGACCUGCGCCGUAUUAGCUAGUUGGUAAGGUAACGGCUUACCAAGGCAACGAUACGUAGCCGACCUGAGAGGGUGAUCGGCCACACUGGAACUGAGACACGGUCCAGACUCCUACGGGAGGCAACAGUAGGGAAUCUUCCGCAAUGGGCGAAAGCCUGACGGAGCAACGCCGCGUGAGUGAUGAAGGUCUUCGGAUCGUAAAACUCUGUUAUUAGGGAAGAACAAACGUGUAAGUAACUGUGCACGUCUUGACGGUACCUAAUCAGAAAGCCACGGCUAACUACGUG
This 497-nucleotide ribosomal RNA is filed under the name uncultured bacterium. RNAcentral's name for it is "partial 16S ribosomal RNA". It matches the Rfam family "Bacterial small subunit ribosomal RNA", at positions 28 to 507 of the family's 1533-position model. The record is from RNAcentral.